GUGACCAAGAGCCUCCUGGAGCAGAAGUCCUGCUAGUCGCCUCCGUCUGGGUACUAGCCCCCUAUUACUCUGCAGGCGUGUGAAGGAAGAAGGAAACUAGCCUCGGACUGUGCAGAUCGCAGCGCAAGUCUUGGCGAGAAGGAGCAAACUGCCUUGAUUGGAACAGUACUGAGGAGGGUCCAAGACUCUGUCCAUCUAGCACUGUGGAGGGAACUCUGACAGCAGAAGAUAAAGGAAGAAGGAAUUCACCAGACUUUGGUAGAGAUUCCUCAGGAGAGCUUCAAAAGCCAGGGAGAGGCUGAAGAUUACUACCCUGCACCAUUACUCAUCCUGGCACUAACAGCCCUCUUCAAUCAGGUGGAGACAGACCCUCUACUCUCCGGCCUG
Molecule: long non-coding RNA, 387 nt
Filed under: Castor canadensis (American beaver)
Lineage: Eukaryota; Metazoa; Chordata; Mammalia; Rodentia; Castoridae
Description: lncRNA (ENSCCNG00000028526.1)
Source: RNAcentral